AGCGUAUAAAAUGUGUCAUACAUAGCAUUCUUCUUUUCCUUAGCUCAUUUGGUUCAAAGGUACCAAGGUGUAGGCCUAUAGUCUUGUCAAAGGGGGAAUUUAUUAGAAUGUUUUGCUUUCCAAUUCAGAUGCAAAACAAUAACUACUCUUACAUUUAGUCAUUUAGCAGACGCUUUUGUCCAAAACUCUUCUUACCCGUUUCAGCUAUGCAGUAAUAGUUCAAGUAUAAACUACUCACAUUUGUGAAUGGAAAAUAUAGGCAAUGGUGGUGAAGCCGGGUAAAUUGUGUGAACCCAAUUUCAGUGAAGAGGAGCUCUCUAGAACAGGGGUCCCCAACCUUUUUUGCACCACGGACCGGUUUAAUGUAGGCAUUAUUUUCACGGACCGGCAGAUAAAUACAGCAAAAAUAAAAUAACGCGACCGGCAUAAAAACGAAUGUUAAGUGCAUGAAAAAUACAACUCACCAUUGUACUGACUUGUACUUUAUCCUAUAAAGCAGUGGUUCUCAAAGUGGGGGGCGGGGGGCGCGCAAUGUCACAGACGGAGAAAAAAAGUUCUUAAGGGCUUAAUUUGUGAGAAACCGUGGCGAUUGCGUUCAUGUCAAUUCUACAGUCAUCCUUAAAUAAUUAUUAUUUAAAAAUAAAAAAUAGGAGAAUAUUUUAAUCAUUAACAAUUACGUUUCAUAUUUAAAUUCAUGAUUCUAAGAGGCAUCGUAAUGUUCUAAAAAAGCACUACACGAACACUGCAAAUAUAACUGAAUAAAUAAAUAAGCAUUAAACUCAAUCGCGUGGAUAUAGCCAUAUUGGAAUAGAAUGGACACAUCUACAUUCUGCAACAGUAUACCUCCACCUCUGCACUGGUGAAGUUAGGUCCGCUUUGACAUGAUUUUGAUCAGUCUGAAGUUGAUUUCGCGUUGCUGUGGAGUCUGUGGAUGGUGCACACGUCUCUUCAGGCCUUUUCCCCUUCGCAAAGAAGCUCUCCAAGGACGUUUGUUUCUUACUAAUUUUCGCUAGUUUGCUGGUUUAUUUUUUGAGUAACGUAUCACGUGACCGAGACAAGCGUCUUGACGUGUCAAGAGGCACAGGCGAAUGUUACGUCGGGGAAAAUCCGAUCGUUUUUCAAAAUAAAACACCUUUCAGACUCUAAUAAUUAAUACAACGGAAAUUAUAUAAAUUAUUUAUUCUUUCUUUGCGGCCCGGUAGGAAAUGCCUCACGGACCGGUACCGGGCCGCGGCCCGGUGGUUGGGGACCACUGCUCUAGAAGUCAGAGGUGUACAACCACUACCUAUGUGGGCAAUCAUCAUCUCCUGUAAAUCUGAUGUCAGUGGAAGAGCAAGUGACAUCCAGUCUCUCCACAGUCUACGUGCAUCUACACCUGUCGAGUGAGAGGACCAAGCCAGGCAGUGUCCUCAUCUCCAGAGCAGACCAGCGGUGGGUAGGCCAUACACUGCUGUUCAGAGUGUUCCAUCUGAGAAGAGUGAAAUGCAGAUAGCCUGCUGAGGAGUCCGUGGAACGUGAGUCUGCAGAGCAACACCCAGAUGACCCAGCAACAGAAUAUCGGCGCUUGAUACAAAUGAAAGAGGAGAGACUGGCAGAGAAGAGAGAAGAAAGGGAGCACCAACAGCAGAUGCCACUCUAAGUUCAGUUCAUGCUCACAAAUAAAAUGUCUUGUUAUUUGUCUUAUGUUAUCUAGUGUUAACUACUGCAUUGUAAUUGAUGUUGUUGAAUAAAAUGCUUGUCAACAAACAUUUGGC
This is a long non-coding RNA of Clupea harengus (Atlantic herring), 1754 nucleotides long. The record is from Ensembl. Lineage: Eukaryota; Metazoa; Chordata; Actinopteri; Clupeiformes; Clupeidae.